RNAcentral lists this ribosomal RNA (378 nucleotides) under uncultured eukaryote. RNAcentral describes it as "partial 18S ribosomal RNA". It matches the Rfam family "Eukaryotic small subunit ribosomal RNA", at positions 592 to 976 of the family's 1831-position model. The record is from RNAcentral.
CAAUAGCGUAUAUUUAAGUUGUUGCAGUUAAAAAGCUCGUAGUUGGAUUUCGGGUGUGAACGACCGGUCCGUCUUUGAUGUGUACUGGUUGGUUGCGCCUUAUUGUCGAGGACGUGGUUCUAGCUUUCAUUAGCCGGGACACGGAGUCGGCAGCGUUACUUUGAGAAAAUUAGAGUGUUCAAAGCAGGCCAUCGCUCUGAAUACUACAGCAUGGAAUAACACGAUAGGACUCCGAGCCUAUUCUGUUGGUCUUCGGGACCGGAGUAAUGAUUAAGAGGGACAGUUGGGGGCAUUCGUAUUCCGAUGUCAGAGGUGAAAUUCUUGGAUUAUCGGAAGACGAGCAUCUGCGAAAGCAUUUGCCAAGGAUGUUUUCAUUAA